This 295-nucleotide ribosomal RNA is filed under the name uncultured Synergistaceae bacterium. Its description in RNAcentral is "partial 16S ribosomal RNA". It matches the Rfam family "Bacterial small subunit ribosomal RNA", at positions 1091 to 1382 of the family's 1533-position model. Lineage: Bacteria; Thermotogati; Synergistota; Synergistia; Synergistales; Synergistaceae. The record is from RNAcentral.
AACGAGCGCAACCCCUGCAUUUCAGUUGCCAUCGGGUAAUGCCGGGCACUCUGGAAGGACUGCCAUCGACAAGAUGGAGGAAGGUGGGGAUGACGUCAAGUCAUCAUGGCCCUUAUGUCCAGGGCGACACACGUGCUACAAUGGCCGGCACAACGGGAAGCGAGUUCGCGAGGACGAGCGGAUCCCUCAAAGACCGGUCGCAGUUCGGAUUGAAGUCUGCAACUCGACUUCAUGAAGCUGGAAUCGCUAGUAAUCGUGGAUCAGCCAAGCCGCGGUGAAUACGUUCCCGGGCCUU